GGAUUAGGAUGGGAACACUGGAACGGUUGCUAAAACCGGAUGUGCCGAGAGGUGAAAUAUUUUAUAGCCUGUAGAUGUGCUCGCGUCUGAUUAGCUAGUUGGUGGGGUAAAGGCCUACCAAGGCGACGAUCAGUAGCUGGUCUGAGAGGAUGAUCAGCCACACUGGGACUGAGACACGGCCCAGACUCCUACGGGAGGCAGCAGUGGGGAAUUUUCCGCAAUGGGCGCAAGCCUGACGGAGCAAUACCGCGUGAGGGAGGAAGGCUCUUGGGUCGUAAACCUCUUUUCUCUGGGAAGAAUAACUGACGGUACCAGAGGAAUCAGCAUCGGCUAACUCCGUGCCAGCAGCCGCGGUAAUACGGGGGAUGCAAGCGUUAUCCGGAAUUAUUGGGCGUAAAGCGUCCGCAGGUGGCUAAUCAAGUCUGUUGUCAAAGCGCGGAGCUCAACUCCGUACAGGCGAUGGAAACUGGUUGGCUAGAGUUAGGUAGGGGUAAGAGGAAUUCCCAGUGUAGCGGUGAAAUGCGUAGAUAUUGGGAAGAACACCGGCGGCGAAAGCGUCUUACUGGGCCUAAACUGACACUGAGGGACGAAAGCUAGGGGAGCGAAAGGGAUUAGAUACCCUUGUCGUCAAGGACGUUG
Molecule: ribosomal RNA, 639 nt
Filed under: Leptolyngbya sp. CALU1714
Lineage: Bacteria; Bacillati; Cyanobacteriota; Cyanophyceae; Leptolyngbyales; Leptolyngbyaceae
Description: bacterial SSU rRNA
Rfam family: Bacterial small subunit ribosomal RNA
Source: RNAcentral